ACGGGUGAGUAACGCGUGGGAAUCUACCCAUCUCUACGGAAUAACGCAUGGAAACGUGUGCUAAUACCGUAUACGUCCUUCGGGAGAAAGAUUUAUCGGAGAUGGAUGAGCCCGCGUUGGAUUAGCUAGUUGGUGGGGUAAAGGCCUACCAAGGCGACGAUCCAUAGCUGGUCUGAGAGGAUGAUCAGCCACACUGGGACUGAGACACGGCCCAGACUCCUACGGGAGGCAGCAGUGGGGAAUAUUGGACAAUGGGCGCAAGCCUGAUCCAGCCAUGCCGCGUGAGUGAUGAAGGCCCUAGGGUUGUAAAGCUCUUUCACCGGUGAAGAUAAUGACGGUAACCGGAGAAGAAGCCCCGGCUAACUUCGUGCCUGCAGCCGCGGUAAUACGAAGGGGGCUAGCGUUGUUCGGAUUUACUGGGCGUAAAGCGCACGUAGGCGGACUAUUAAGUCAGGGGUGAAAUCCCGGGGCUCAACCCCGGAACUGCCUUUGAUACUGGUAGUCUUGAGUUCGAGAGAGGUGAGUGGAAUUCCGAGUGUAGAGGUGAAAUUCGUAGA
RNAcentral lists this ribosomal RNA (557 nucleotides) under uncultured bacterium. Its description in RNAcentral is "bacterial SSU rRNA". It matches the Rfam family "Bacterial small subunit ribosomal RNA", at positions 102 to 694 of the family's 1533-position model. The record is from RNAcentral.